UAGCCGUAAACGAUACUCGCUAGGUGUCGGCCACGGUGCGACCGUUGUCGGUGCCGUAGGGAAGCCGUGAAGCGAGCCACCUGGGAAGUACGGCCGCAAGGCUGAAACUUAAAGGAAUUGGCGGGGGAGCACAACAACGGGUGGAGCUUGCGGUUUAAUUGGACUCAACGCCGGGAAGCUCACCGGAUAAGACAGCGGAAUGAUAGUCGGGAUGAAGACUCUACUUGACUAGCUGAGAGGUGGUGCAUGGCGUAGUCGUGU
RNAcentral lists this ribosomal RNA (261 nucleotides) under uncultured archaeon. RNAcentral's name for it is "partial 16S ribosomal RNA". It matches the Rfam family "Archaeal small subunit ribosomal RNA", at positions 748 to 1009 of the family's 1478-position model. The record is from RNAcentral.